Molecule: ribosomal RNA, 490 nt
Filed under: uncultured bacterium
Lineage: Bacteria
Description: partial 16S ribosomal RNA
Rfam family: Bacterial small subunit ribosomal RNA
Source: RNAcentral
AUUGAACGCUGGCGGCAGGCCUAACACAUGCAAGUCGAACGGUAACAGGAAACAGCUUGCUGUUUCGCUGACGAGUGGCGGGCGGGUGAGUAAUGUCUGGGAAACUGCCUGAUGGAGGGGGAUAACUACUGGAAACGGUAGCUAAUACCGCAUAACGUCGCAAGACCAAAGAGGGGGACCUUCGGGCCUCUUGCCAUCGGAUGUGCCCAGAUGGGAUUAGCUAGUAGGUGGGGUAACGGCUCACCUAGGCGACGAUCCCUAGCUGGUCUGAGAGGAUGACCGGCCACACUGGAACUGAGACACGGUCCAGACUCCUACGGGAGGCAGCAGUGGGGAAUAUUGCACAAUGGGCGCAAGCCUGAUGCAGCCAUGCCGCGUGUAUGAAGAAGGCCUUCGGGUUGUAAAGUACUUUCAGCGGGGAUGAAGGGAGUAAAGUUAAUACCUUUGCUCAUUGACGUUACCCGCAGAAGAAGCACCGGCUAACUCCGUG